Molecule: transfer RNA, 64 nt
Filed under: Epacromius coerulipes
Lineage: Eukaryota; Metazoa; Arthropoda; Insecta; Orthoptera; Acrididae
Description: tRNA-Arg
Source: RNAcentral
UAAUAAGAAGCGAAAUAUUGCACUCAGUUUCGACCUGAAAAUUGGCAUCUAAUGCCCUUAUUAA